RNAcentral lists this long non-coding RNA (522 nucleotides) under Erythranthe guttata (spotted monkey flower). RNAcentral's name for it is "long non-coding RNA (EGUT_LNC002616)". The record is from RNAcentral. Lineage: Eukaryota; Viridiplantae; Streptophyta; Magnoliopsida; Lamiales; Phrymaceae.
CCUCCCAUCGUCAUGACUAUUUCCUCCCACAUUCUGCCUGCGCAUCAAUUCCUUGACAACCGGUGAAUAUCCAACCGACUUCUCGAAUUCCUCCAUUGUAAGUUGCUUCCCUGUCUGAACAUCACUGAGCUUAUUCCACAUGCCCUGUUCGUUAUACUCUUUAACAAUAAACUCCUUUCCAGUGUCCAAAUUCUUUAUCAGGAAGAACGAACCAAACGCACCGUCCGGCACCACAGACUGUAGCACAUCAUUGUUUGGAUUCAAUAAUCUGCUUUUCGCUCUGUCUGGGGAUAUUCUAACAGCGUUAGAGUAUUGACACACACCAGUGGUAGGUAUAGCUAGGCCUGAAGAUGUUCUAGUGAGUCUUUGUUUCGAUACAGGCCCGAUUAAUUCUUCUUUCCUUUGCUUUGUUCUUGCAGAAAAGGCAUCUAUGUCACUAUCCGAUCUCGACCGUACAAGCACAACUGCCGUCGGAUGUGAAUCCAACGGUGAAGAAGAAGAAGGCUCCUCUUUUCUUGAUUC